Long non-coding RNA from Scomber scombrus (Atlantic mackerel), 150 nucleotides. RefSeq lists it as uncharacterized. The transcript is spliced from 3 exons. The record is from RefSeq and is a predicted model, not a curated record. Lineage: Eukaryota; Metazoa; Chordata; Actinopteri; Scombriformes; Scombridae.
UUUUACUGUUGCAAAUACAAAUGUACACAAGAUACAACCAAAGGAGGCACAAACAGGGGUGCUGAUGGUGUGGUUGGUCCAGAAGAGGUGACAUAUGAAGAAAUAACAAAGGAGAGAGAACCAAAUGUGUCUGGAGCAGAUACCCAACAG